This 936-nucleotide long non-coding RNA is filed under the name Ovis aries (sheep). RNAcentral's name for it is "lncRNA (ENSOARG00000026966.1)". The record is from RNAcentral. Lineage: Eukaryota; Metazoa; Chordata; Mammalia; Artiodactyla; Bovidae.
CAUUAAAUCCCAUCUAGGCCAACCCCCUUAUUUUACAGAUGAGUAAGUACCAUAUGCUUGAAUCUUGUUUCACAGUCCUCAAAGGGUUUUCAUAGGGUAGAUCAUUUGCCUCCCCAACAACCCUUUGAGGUAGUCAGAAGGUAGCUUUAUUUAUCUCCACUUUGUGGAGAAAUGGAGGCACUGGGAGGAUGAAUGACUUGCCCAGCUAUGGAAGGGGCCAGUGAAUGGACACAUCUACAGCUCAAGCUUUCCACUGCCUUGGUGGCCUUCUCACCGAAGAGCUGGAUGCCACAGGACUUUGCAUGCCUACAGGACUGUCUAGACUCCAGUUCCCUUAGGCUGGACACUUUUGGACUUGAAAACCCUGCCAUGGCUUAGGAAAGCAUGAUCCCUCUCCUUCAGGACCCGACUCUAAAUCCAUGCCUCCUAGACUUCCGUGGUGGUCCAGUAGAUGAGAAUCCGGCUCUCAGUGCAGGAGACACGGGUUUGAUCCUUGGCCCGCCCGGGGAGAUUCCACAGACUGUGGGGCAAGUAAGCCCAUGCACCACAACUACUGAGCCCACGCCCUAGAGCCUUCAGGCUGCAGCUUCUGAAGCCUGUGUGCCGAGAGCCUGCGCUCUGCAAUGAGAGAAGCCACCACAAUGAAGAGUACCCACCACAAUGAAGAGUACCCCAAGAACCCCAACGAAGAGUGGCCCCUACUAACUACAACUAGAGAAAAGCUCGCACAGCAGCGAGGACCCAGCACGACCAUAAAAUAAAUGAAUGAUAAACCCGUGCCUUCUGGGGAGUCCUCCUCCUUCCAGCCCUAUUAUUUCUAGAUCCCUUCUGUCAGUUUGUACCAACCUUCCUGAGAGGAGUGUGAUCUAAACAGGGCCUAAUAUAUUAUGAGAACUUUCACGUGUCAAAUGAUAAGUGUGAAACAAUGGAAAAUUU